GACGAACGCUGGCGGCGUGCUUAACACAUGCAAGUCGAACGGAAAGGCCCUGCUUUCGUGGGGUGCUCGAGUGGCGAACGGGUGAGUAACACGUGAGUAACCUGCCCUUGACUUUGGGAUAACUUCAGGAAACUGGGGCUAAUACCGGAUAGGAGCUCCUGCUGCAUGGUGGGGGUCGGAAAGUUUCGGCGGUUGGGGAUGGACUCGCGGCUUAUCAGCUUGUUGGUGGGGUAGUGGCUUACCGAGGCUUUGACGGGUAGCCGGCCUGAGAGGGUGACCGGCCACAUUGGGACUGAGGGACGGCGCAGACUCCUACGGGGGGCAGCAGUGGGGAGUAUUACACAAUGAGCGGAAGCCUGAUGCAGCAGCGCCGCGUGCGGGAUGACGGCCUUCGGGUUGUAAACCGCUUUCGCCUGUGACGAAGCGUGAGUGACGGUAAUAGGUAAAGAAGCACCGGCUAACUACGUG
Molecule: ribosomal RNA, 468 nt
Filed under: uncultured bacterium
Lineage: Bacteria
Description: partial 16S ribosomal RNA
Rfam family: Bacterial small subunit ribosomal RNA
Source: RNAcentral